UACGUAGGGCGCAAGCGUUAUCCGGAAUUAUUGGGCGUAAAGAGCUCGUAGGCGGUUUGUCGCGUCUGCCGUGAAAGUCCGGGGCUCAACUCCGGAUCUGCGGUGGGUACGGGCAGACUAGAGUGAUGUAGGGGAGACUGGAAUUCCUGGUGUAGCGGUGAAAUGCGCAGAUAUCUGGAGGAAUACCGGUGGCGAAGGCGGCAUCCUGGACCGGCAUUGACGCUGAGGAGCGAAAGCCAGGGGAGCAAACGGG
This 253-nucleotide ribosomal RNA is filed under the name uncultured bacterium. RNAcentral describes it as "partial 16S ribosomal RNA". It matches the Rfam family "Bacterial small subunit ribosomal RNA", at positions 524 to 776 of the family's 1533-position model. The record is from RNAcentral.